Molecule: long non-coding RNA, 2200 nt
Organism: Daucus carota subsp. sativus
Lineage: Eukaryota; Viridiplantae; Streptophyta; Magnoliopsida; Apiales; Apiaceae
Exons: 3
Source: RefSeq, a predicted model, not a curated record
CUCGGAAAACUCGGUCGAGUACUCUGACUCGGUAAUCCUGCCGCACCGUUUUUACUAUAUUCGGUCACUACUACGGUUUGUGUUGAAAUCGGGUCAAACUUGCGUUGACUUCCGAGUACUCCGAGUACUUUGAAAUAAAAAUGCUGCAGCCUGCAAGGAAAUAAAAACUAAAAAGAGCCCAUCAGCCCAAUAAGGGAAAAAUGUAAAGGCAGGCAUCGGUAACUCUCUGGAGACAAUACACCGUCAUUGUCAAUAUCUCAACUUGACUCUGUACUUGAUUAUCACUCAGUAAGGAAUGGAACCUUCACCAAAUACAGAAUCAUCAGAUAUUUUGAAACCUAAUUCUAGUGAUGUUGGAUGGGAAUAUGCUGAGUUGAUCAAUGCUACUAAUCUUAGACAAGUGAGGUGUAAAUUGUGCAGGAAAGAACUGAACGGAGGUAUCAACCGUCUUAAGUAUCAUGUUGCUGGAAUAAAAGGUAAUGUGAAAGCUUGUCCUAAUUCCACUCCUUUAGACAAAGAACGGUGUAAAAGAGCAUUGGAUGAAUUGAAAAAGACAAAAAAGGAAAAAAAAACUACACAUUCAGGAGGUGAGAGAGGAUGUAGAUAUUGCUGAAAAUGAAGAUGAUGUAGUUGAAAUUCAAGGUUCUGCAAAAAAACCACAUACACUUGGACCUAUGGAUCAAUUUAGUAGACCAAUUGAUCCAAUGGAAUCUACUAUUGAGUUGCGUAAAAAGAGUAGACAACAAAAUAUUAAUGAUGCUCUUUUCAAGCAGAGGACUAAUGAGGUGCACGCAUAUUUAGCUCGCUGGGUGUAUGAGUUUGGUGUACCAUUCAAUGCCAUAAACAAUGAUGGGUUUAAAAGGUCUUGUGAGGCAGUUGGAUAGUUUGGUCCAGGCUAUAUACCAGCAAGUCGGUACCAAUUGAGAGAGCCGCUCCUUAAGCAAGAAGUGGAAAAGACAAAACAAUCGAUGAAAGAACAAGAGGAGGAGUGGAAAUCCAAUGGGUGCUCACUAAUGACAGAUGCGUGGUCCGAUAGAAAUUGGCGAAGCAUUAUGAAUCUUUGUGUUAAUUGUAGAGCUGGCACAUGUUUUAUUGCUUCUAUUGAAAGUUCAGAAGAAGCACACACUGCAAAGUAUAUAUUUGAGUAUGUUGAUAAAUAUAUUGGUGAAAUAGGGAGUGGCAACGUCAUUCAAGUCGUGACGGAUAAUGCUUCUAAUAACAUGGCUGCUGCAAAAUUAUUGAAGGUCAAGAGACCAAACAUUUUCUGGACAUCCUGUGCUACUCACACACUGAACUUGAUUUUGGAAGGAAUUGGUAAGAUUCCAAGGAUUCAGCAUAUAAUUGAAAAGGCAAAGGCACUGACCAUUUUCAUUUAUGCUCACCACACGACGCUGGCUUUAAUGAGAAAAUUUACAAGAAAAAAAAAAAUUGUUAGACCAGGGGUCACAAGGUUUGCUAGCUCGUUUCUUACCCUGCAACAUAUCUUGGAGAAAGAAGAAAAAUUAAAGCAUAUGUUCUUAUCAAAAGAAUGGGGAGAAUGCAAGUAGUUUACAAAAUCAAAAGGUAUCAAAGCAUAUCAGAUCAUUGUCUCUCAAGCUUUUUGGAUGAAUAUUGCUAUGUGUGUCGAAUUAUUUAAACUUUUAGUAAAAGUACUUCGACUUGUUGAUGGAGAUUGGUGUCCUUCCAUGGCUUUUGUGUAUGGAGAUAUUAAGGAAGCAAAAUCUGAGAUCAUUAGAAUUUGCAAGGAUGUUAAAGACACCUAUGAACCUAUCUUGGAAAUCAUUGACUCAAAAAUUAAAGGCCGUCUUGAUAGUCCAUUGCACUUAACUGCAUACUUGUUAAAUCCUUAUUUUUUCUUACAAAGAUAAAGAAGUUGUGAGAAGAGAUGCAAACUGUAUGGCCGCAGUGAUAACUUGCAUUGAGGCAUUCUUUCCAGAUGAUUAUGACUUGAAAGAUCUUGUUGGAAAUGUCGAGUUACUGAAAUACAAAAAUAUGGAAGGAAUGUUUGGAAAAAAAUUGGCUAUCAUGGGAAGAACCAGGAACAAAGAAAAUUUUGAUAUAGGUAUUUGCUAUUUAAUAUUUAUCUAACACUAGAAUUUUGUUUAUUCAAGAUUUCUACUUAAAAAUUCUGCUCUUUUAAAUUAUUCAUUUGACAGUUGGAUGGUGGUCAAAUUAUGGAGCAGAAACACCAAAUUUGCAA